ACUGGGACUGAGAUACGGCCCAGACUCCUACGGGAGGCAGCAGUGGGGAAUAUUGGACAAUGGGGGCAACCCUGAUCCAGCAAUGCCGCGUGAGUGAUGAAGGCCUUAGGGUUGUAAAGCUCUUUUGGCGGGGACGAUGAUGACGGUACCCGCAGAAUAAGCCCCGGCUAACUUCGUGCCAGCAGCCGCGGUAAUACGAAGGGGGCGAGCGUUGUUCGGAAUUACUGGGCGUAAAGGGCGCGUAGGCGGCGAACCAAGUCAGAUGUGAAAGUCCUGGGCUUAACCUGGGGACUGCAUUUGAUACUGGUUUGCUUGAAUUCGGGAGAGGAUAGCGGAAUUCCCAGUGUAGAGGUGAAAUUCGUAGAUAUUGGGAAGAACACCGGUGGCGAAGGCGGCUAUCUGGACCGACAUUGACGCUGAGGCGCGAAAGCGUGGGGAGAAACAGGAUUAGAUACCCUGGUAGUCCACGCCGUAAACGAUGAAUGCUAGACGCUGGGGAGCAUGCUCUUCGGUGUCGCAGCUAACGCAUUAAGCAUUCCGCCUGGGGAGUACGGUCGCAAGAUUAAAA
RNAcentral lists this ribosomal RNA (568 nucleotides) under uncultured bacterium. Its description in RNAcentral is "bacterial SSU rRNA". It matches the Rfam family "Bacterial small subunit ribosomal RNA", at positions 312 to 899 of the family's 1533-position model. The record is from RNAcentral.